This 176-nucleotide ribozyme is filed under the name Anopheles sinensis. Its description in RNAcentral is "drz-agam-2-2 ribozyme". It matches the Rfam family "drz-agam-2-2 ribozyme". The record is from Rfam by way of RNAcentral. Lineage: Eukaryota; Metazoa; Arthropoda; Insecta; Diptera; Culicidae.
UUGACCAUUUAGUCUGACCAUGGGUCUGCAAAGGAACUAUAAGCUAUCCUCCCCCACUCCUACUCAAUGCGUCCGCGAAGUACAGAACGGCAGCUUGUCGCUUAAAUAUCCAAGCUUGGGUACAUGGGGAAACCCACCCCCUUGGGCGAAUGGCCGGCAAGGCUGAAUUGAGAGGA